Molecule: non-coding RNA, 554 nt
Organism: Vicugna pacos (alpaca)
Lineage: Eukaryota; Metazoa; Chordata; Mammalia; Artiodactyla; Camelidae
Source: RefSeq, a predicted model, not a curated record
CGGCAGCUUUGGAAACACAUAACUAGGGCAGGGGUGUACCCAAAUGCAGGAACAAGGCAGGCUUUCCCGAAGGAAUGACUUUUAGGGUGAAAAUCCAAAGAUGAGAACAAAGCCAGGUGAGACAGGAAGGGAUAAAUGUCUCCAUCUAAAGGCACAGCACAUACCAAGGCCAUGGACUGUACAGUAUAUGUAAGAUCUGGUGGAUGUUCAAGUUUACUUGAACAGAUGUAAAAAACAAAUGCAGUAUGUUUUUUCAAAUUAUAGACCUUUCUCCAUCAUAAAGUUAACUCAGUAAAUCUUGGCAUUUUUUAAUGAAAUAAAAUAGAAAAUGCCAAAGUACACUGUAGUGUAGUUUCAGUUUUACACAUUAUUUCAGUUUAUAUUAUCUAUAAUUUGUAUAUAUAUUUACACUAUUUACAUUUUAUAUAUAGUAAACUCACAUUUCUAAUCCACAUACCUGAUUCUCCAAUUCUGGCAACACAGCACUAUUCAUCUGUUCCCCCUUUUUGCCUUUCAACAACCGGUUGAGGUCCUGGUAAAUAUCUUUUGUGGAA